Molecule: long non-coding RNA, 1271 nt
Organism: Cyprinus carpio (common carp)
Lineage: Eukaryota; Metazoa; Chordata; Actinopteri; Cypriniformes; Cyprinidae
Source: Ensembl
AUGGUGGAGCCGCUUGGUCGACGGGCUGAGGCAGAGUCUAGGACUCAGAGGCUGCAGGUGGAGGCAAGGGAUUCUCCAUCCACGCAAAUGAGGGAGACUGACAAAACCGCUGUGCUCCCACUAAACAGAUCGUGGGAUGAGGGUGAGCAGAGGGGCUGCCAGACGACAACAGUGGAAGAGUCAGAUGACUUGAGUCAUGAAGCCUCUGGAUCAUUUGGGGAUGCGGCCACAUCACCCUCCUCAACCCAUUUGUUUGGCGGCUUCCAUAUGACAGACAGGAAUCCAGCUUCUGUAGUCCAAUCAGAUCCCACAGGCUCGUCAAAGGGUAGCAGGGAACAACCUGCAUUUUCCUCUGUACUUACAUUACUUGCCAGCACAGCCCAAAAGCCUCCCAAACUGUCGUCAAAAGUUGUUGCACGUGGCAAUGAAACACAUCAAUGGCCUUCUAAUGGAUCUUUGGAACGAGUGGAGCCAUUUACUCUCCCAUCGUCUGUGCUGGUCGGCAACCAAUCCAAUAACUCAGAGUUUCAAUUGAUAUCUGAGCUGGAGGCACCUGCAGCCUCUAGAGCUGCAGACCCUGAUUCUAGCAGAUUGAUUUCACCUGAGCAGAAAAACACUGCUGCACCCAAUAGAUCUUCAGCUACAUCUGUGGACACACAACGAGAACGACCAGACAUUGCAACCACUAUUGUAUCUCAACCUACAGUAUUUAACAGCAAUACUGUUACCACAACCAGCAUCCCCUUUACAACAACAACAAACCAGAUUAGCACUACCCAAUCAUCUGCUGCUAAACGACACUCCAAAACACCCAGGACUUCUAUAAGAACUACAACUACACAAUCUCCAAAGACAACACCUAGAAUCCUGUUUGACUCCACCUCACAGAGUGCUAAGUUGGACCCUUCAAAAAGCACUUUAGGAACUCCAAGAGCUGCUGCAACUGAGGCCUCAAUGCUAAGAUGUAACAUCACUGACAAGAUGUGGAUAAAAACAGGUGCGAUUGCUCAGAUCAAAUGUUGAUCUUUAUGAAAUUGACAGAAAAUUGUUGUACUGUAAUUCAGUGUUGUAAUCAUUCAAGUCUGAGUCAAGACUGAGACCAGAUGUGGGUUGAUUCCUAGUUAUGCCCACAUGUUCCCAAGUCACUGACAAGACCAAGACAAUGAAAAUAUGGUCUUGGACUCAAGUACUACAACAUUUACUGUCAUCUGCCACUGCUGUCAUCAUUCAUGCUGAAUAAAUCUACCUGUACAUGUUUAAUUAAUGAUGAA